UUUCUUCUUCUCACGGUCGAACAAUUAACCCUUUCUCUCUUCCUCUUCUCUCAGCUAAACAAUUAACCCUUCUCUCUUCCUCUUCUCACAGCUGAAGGAAUUCCUCUCUUCUUCUUCUCACAGCCGAACAAAUCUAUUCUCCACUCUUCUUCUUCACUCUUUGUACAUUCGCUUCGUCUUCUACAUCCGACCAGCCAGUGGUUCUAUCUUCUUCUUCACAUUUUUCCUCUCACUAUUUUGCCCAAAUCUAUUUACCCAAAAUCGAUAUAUCUCUUAACCUACUUCUCUAGAUCUGAUGAUAUUUUUACCAUCUUCGACACUCACUGAUUUUUCUCCAUCGUUCAACACCAUCUUCUUCACAGUAUUUUGAUCUCAUUGAUUUUCUAAACCACAUUUUCCCCUGUUGUUUGUCGGUCUUCGAUGUCCCCAUGGAUGUGGGUGUUGUUGACAUGCCACAUUUAGAAAUAAACAAAGGUCUUCGAUGCCUUAUCUUCGGUCGGGCGUUCGUUGACUAGGUGGCUGCUUUCCUGCAUAGCUUGUUCUACGAACUUGUCGCUCUCGGAUGUCAUUCAUUGUAUUUUUCUUGUCGUUCGGUUAACCUCUGUGUCCGCGACGACCUUUCAUCCUCUAAUGAGUGACGGAUACUAACUGAGGGUUGUGGUUUCGAGCAAGGUAGGGUCGAGGUAAUAUUUCUUACUUUUAUUCGACUGCCGAUGAUGAGUUAGUUUCCUGAAUAUGCAUAUUGUUUUGAUUGAAAUGAUCAUUCACAUGUUCUCUUUGAUAUUCAUUAUUACUAGUUUUAUUUUGUUCUACCAUUUCUUUUUUUGUUCCAUGUUCAUUCUUGAAGUGGUUACAGUCAUUUCUCUUUGUAGAUGGUCAUUUUUUUUCUUCAUUUGUUUGGCAGUGGCUUAUAUUUUUUGCAUUCACUUACUGUGUGUAGAAAAUGGAAAAGAAGUUAUUCUUAUGUAUACGUUUGUUGCACUGUGUCUCUAGAUUAGUCUCUCUUUUUUUGUUUUCCUUUUGUUGUGCAUUGUAUUUGUAUUUUCGACUUCUUGUUUGCCUCUAGUUUAAUGAAUCUAUUUUCCUCCUUUGGCUGUGUAUUUGUUUACUGUUUUUUCACGUCUGUUGUGUAGAAAAUAAUGAGUAUAAGCAUGGUAUGAAACACAAAAUAGAUAGAUAACUAUGGGUCAAAUAUUUCCCCAUCAUUUACUAAGGAAGGGGAAGGGGAAGAGUUACGAAGAGUAAAAGAUUUGUUAGGAAAAUUACGAAGAAAAGGAGACAUUUGUUCAAUUUUGGACUAAGUAAUUUUUUAUUAGAAAAUUUUCUAACGACAUAAAAAUUAUAUUGUUAAUUGACGACGCAAAAAUUGUGUUAAGAAAAAUUUUGGUUUUUUAUUUUUAAUGAUAGAUUUUACUCCAUCCCACCCCCUUUUCCUUGAUUUUAAGUGUUAUCAAAGCCCAAAUUUCUAGUAAUGUUUGAAUAUAUGGUAGGUUAAAGUUUGACCUUUCAAAGUCAAAAGUCAACAUUUUGACUUUUUAACAUUUUGUUUCCUUUGACUAAUUUAACCUCCUGAGUAUGAAUUCACAUUCAUUUUUCUGAAAUUCAAAUCACAUUUGAGUAUAUAGUAGGUUAAAGUUUGACUUUUUAAAGUUAAAAGUAAACAUUUUGACUUUUUUCAACUUUAACUAUUUUUAUUAUUUAUGAGUGUUCGAAUAUGAAUCUACAUUCAUAAUUUUUAUAUUUAUAUCACAUUUAAACAUAAAGCUCCAUUACUAAUCUAAAACCGACAACAAUAACACAUAUACUUGUUGGUUUCUCUCUCCUCAUCUAAUUCAAACAAUUCGAAUAAUUUCAUCAUACUGUUCUAAGUUUAUUCCAUAUGAGCUAGUAGGGGAACCUAAUGAACCUAUAGAUCAUGGUCUCCAACAAUUUGAGAUUAAUUGGUUAAACCCUUUUUAGACCAAGUUAAUCAACAUUCAAUAACUAAUGGGUCAUUCCACUAAAGUUUUGUAGUUGUACUCCCUUCACUAUAGAUAUAUUUGUGUCCAUCUGAUAUAAAUAUGAUCAAUAAGUUAAUCUUUCAUGGAUUAUUCGUAACCUCGGUUAAAAUAUUGUUUUAUCCCCGAGACUACAUCUCGCUUCUUAAGUCUCAUUGAUCCACUAUUAAAUAAUUGGUUUAAGGUUCAAUCUAUAAACUGAAUCCCUCUUAGGCCGAUGAGAGUGCAGGGCUCGUUGUUCAAGACUUGGAUUUAGUCCUUAAGGAAAUGAACUAUCUAUCAAUCUUAUGCCCCAGCUACCUAUUUGGUCUUACCUUUGAAAUGAGAGGCUUAUUGAGCCAAUGUUGAUGAGCUGCCAUCACCUUUGCAGAUUUAAAGAUAAUUUUGUAUGAAUAGUUUGCUCAAGAUUAAUUAAGAUUAAGUUACCUAGGUCAUCAAUAAUUGAAAUAGUCAGUUUUAAACAAUAAACAAUGUUAUAACGUAAAAAUGACUAUUUAAUAGUUCAGUCUUAUGUAAACUCUUUACAUAGGAUGCCUCCACUUUAAUGUCUCUACAUGAACAAUUCAGGAUUACAUCAUUUAUACUAAUUACAAAUCGGGCUGCAUUCAUAAUGUCAUCAUAAUAAGGUGCCAAACCUUUAUUCACAUACUAUAGAUUGUUUAUAGUAUAUACUCGAACUUGAUCCAUGUUGAUGUCUCUACAUAAAAUUCAAGUUUACUCAAGAUAGCCUUGAGACAUUGGUUUAUUGGAUUCAAAAUUAUAGUAUUAAUUUUACUAACAAAAUAUCAAUAACAACCUUAUUGAAUAAAAUAUGGUUUUAAAUUACAAACUACGAGUUUUAUGACAUAAAUUCCAACAGUCAGAGGAAUGCGUACUUGUCAUAAUGGAUGUGUUUGCAUCAUCUGUAACAAUACAUCUAUCUUUAGUGCAUUGAACAUUUAAGUCUUGAUCAUAUAGUUGGCUAAAGCUGAUUACAUUAGCAUUAUGACCUUCUACUACAUAACAUCCUUAAAAGAAGGCAAACCGAGAAAGUUUAAAGUUUCCUUUCCAACAAUGUUAGCACAAACAUCAUAACCAAAUGUUACUUUACCUAAGCUAACUGAUUUCACAUUAGUGAUAUAUAUUUUCUCACCAAUCAUACGACAGAAGCUACCAUUGUUGAAGUACCAAUCUCCUUUAAUAGAGGACCUAAAAAAGAACAACCUUGCAUUUGCUCUGAACUUCUUCGACUCUCUACAUCUAUUUUACAUAGCUUUGGUGGCUAGGAGAUGUAUAGUUCAUCAUUCUUCCUAAGGACAUAUGAGGAUAACCAUGCAAUUGAUAACAAAAUGGUCUUUUGUGAUUAGGUUUCCCAUAAAAAUUAUAAAUUUACCUCAUUCUAUGAGUGUGGGCAUGAUAUGAUUUUUGCCUUUGAUUAAAAGGUUUAACAAUCCCAUAAGAUUCAGGUUGUUAAGCUCGAGCAAAUUCAUUUUUCUGAUUUCCUUUGACUUGUUGGGAUUUAUUGUUUUGUCUUUUGAGGCAUUACCUUCUUAGAAAAUUCUUUCAAGAGUAUCUAUUCGAGGAUUAAGCAUAGAUUGACUUGCACAUUUCAUCUUUUUUAGCUGUAACAUAGUGUAACUCAUGCUUAAAUAUGAAAAAGUUGACAUCAAUAUAUGAUUAUGUGAUAGUAAGGUCUCUAUCCAUUCUUUCUGAACAUUUAACACUUUCCAGUCUUCUUGCAAUUGAUCAAACAACAUUUUGUAAGAUGGAUAUGAGGAAUCUUUUUUAGAUGAAUUGCUUGCAAAUCCCUAAAAUGCUUCAUAAUCAAGAUUCUCAUAUAACGAAGUGUCAUACGAGAUGUUACUAACAAGAGCUUUAUAACCAUGUAAGUAUCACUACUAUCAUCAAAAUCCAUAUCAGACCAAGUAUGCACAUAACUUUUAUUCUGUCUCAUCAAAAUGUUCAAUACUAAGCCUGAAAAUGUCUGAAACUCUCACAUUCUCUACAUUUAAAGGAUUUUCUUUCUUUGAUAAGCUAGUGGAACCAAAUUUCUCAUUGUCUUUACAACUUUGAACUUUAAGUGGUUGUGCAUAAAUACUUCCAUAGGCUUUGGAUGUUUGGAGCGUGAGUUUUUCAAUCUUCUGUCAAGGCAUUUCAUCAUAUGACGAAAUUGCUAACAUAACAAAGCAGUUGAUUAUGAGCCUCAUCUAAGUUUUUGUGAACAUUCACUCAUAUCAUCAUAGAUAGAUUGAAGGGCAAUUCUCUUAUUCUUUUUAUCCUGCUUUACAUCAAAAGACUAUUCAAAUGUUAGUACAUAGUCAAUUACUUUAUCCACUUUCAUGGAUGUUAUAUUAUAUCUUCCUUAAUCGCUCUAACUUUCAUGUCAAACCAUUUGGGUAAUGAACACAACACUUUUUUUAUAAGCUUUUAUUCUAACAUCUUUUAUAUAAAUGAAAAAGACUUAUUAGCUGAAUCCAGAAAACAAACAUUAAAUUCAACAAUUGUUUCAUCCUCUUGCAUUAUGAGGUUCUCAAACUUUGUGGACAACAACUACAAUCUAGAUUGUUUAACUUUGGUUGUUCCUUCAUGAGCCAUAUAUAAAAUAUCCCAAACAAGUUUUUCUGAGGCACAUGUAUUAAUCAAUUGAUCAACUUCGUUAAAUAUAAUGCUCAAUGUUUUAGAGUUUCUCAGAGAAGUGUUGUCUUCAGCAAUAGUCUACUCUACCUCAAGUUUAGGAGAAACUUUCUCAUCCUCUUAUGACAGUUGGAGGAGUCCAUCAUGUGAUAAUAGAUUUCCAAGAUAUAUUGUUGAGUGACUUCAAAAAGGUUGUCAUAUUAGCCUCCAAUAUGCAUAGUUAGUUCCAUCUAGAACAAGGGCCGGCAUAUAUUAGAACCAUAUUUUUUGAAGCUAUCCAUGAUCGAAGCACUUGAGAUGAAAGUGACCCACUCUGAUACCAAUUGAAAUUUUGUAAAGAGGUUCUUUCACACAGAUAUAGUUGGCACACAACAUGUCCUAACAAGUGCUUGUUUGUUUCUUUUAUGUGAUAUGUGAUAUGAAAAAAUGAUUUGUAGAUGUGUCAUGCAAGGUUAUAAUAAUGCGACUAAGCUGGCAUCUAGGUUAGGGUUAUGCAAUAAAAGGUGCAUGUCUUAUCUAUGUGUUGCUAAAUGCAUAAUGAUUAAUGUUUAACACAAGUUUUCCUUUUCCUCGCCCAAGUGCAAGUGAAAAAAGAGGUUUUUUGGUAAGUCUGGGGUCGAACACAUGAAAUUUCUACCAAAUAAGUUAUGACUUUUACUUCUAAUUCUAGGCGUUAUAAAUUUUAUACAUUAUAAAAGUAAAACUAUACUAAUCUAAUUAUUUACACUUGAGGAUUUUGUAGCAGGGGAAUAGAAUGAAAUACUUAUGGAAUGGAAUACUUAUGGAAUGUGAACUAACUCGCAUCAAGAAAGAUGAAGGAAAGUCUUCGCAUUGUAGGUGAUUUAAGACAUGUCAAUGUUCUUGAUGUGUUAAGAAAGAUGAAGGAAAGUCUUUGCAUUGUAGGCGAUUUAAGACAUGUCAAUGUUCUUGAUGCGAUAUAGAUCAUUUAACCAUCUUAUAUUUAAGGAGAGCAACCUCUCGGCGGCUGAACACAAACUUGUUCUCCUUUCGGGAACCAAAUGGACACAAAUGAUUAGAGGCAAAACUCCAGAACAAAGUUUGUUUUCAAACUCUUUUUUGUGCGCGUUUAGCAAGGUAUUUACUACUUACUCUCUCAAACAGUUGGCGGCGAACGGUAAUCAAGCGAUUGAGUUAAGCUCUAGCUAAACAUGAUGAAUCUUAUACUUAAAGAAUCCUUAUUAAGCAUAUAACAUACACUUAAACUACUUAAAACACUUCAACAAGACGAAGAGUAAAAAAAUGGUAGAGAGAUAGUAGAUAAAACAUGCAUUGUAUUGAUACUGUAGGCUUCUGAGCCAUGAGAAUAAUACAGUCAAACAAUACAUUCUCAAAUACAAAAAUGAAAUUAAAGAAAUGUGUCGAGUUGAAAAAUUCAUUGUUAUGCAUUUCUGGCUCUUUUACAAGUUAUGAGAAUGGUAGGUGAGCUUCUCUCUCUAAGCUCUCACUCAAAAGUUAAUUGGAAAGGAUUUGAAAAAAAAACUACUACUACAGAUAGUGAAGUACUCUAAAACUCAUCAUUUCACCAGCCUCCUUAACGAAUGGCCUCCUCCCUUCUUGUUCAUGGUGGAGCUGGAGUCUUUUAUAGACAUACUUAGGCAAGACAUUAUAUUAGUUAUGAUAUGCUGCACAUUCGUCCUUGCUAUACUGCAUAUCUGUCCUUGCCUAUGAAUGUCAGUGUAGAAAGUAGUUGUUUCUUGUCAUAUGAGUUCCAAUUACCACUCUUGUCUUCUAGCGAAUCAUCUUGAGUGAUGUGUUGCCAUCUCCCCCUACAAUGUGAAUUGUUGGGCUUCUUGUUUAUCCUCGAGUUCUUGCUCAAGAAUCGUCUUGCAAUUCGCUUAUUUUCUUCUUUUCAUCAUCCUACGUGUAAAAACACUUAAAAGCAUAGUUAAUUAGGUGUAAUGACUUAUGUAAGGUACAUUCACUUAACAUUAUAAAUUUGCACUAAAAGCUACCAGUCCUUUAUCUCGCAUUUUGGCUCCAUUGUUUUAUCUAAAAGGCCACAAUAACUUAUAUUUUUAUGAGUUAUCAACAAAGAGAGACAAUAUUAAAAAUAACAAAGAGAAAAACAAUAGUAACGCACAAUAAUUGGUAAUCCAUUUUGGUGGUACAACACCUACAUCUGGGAAACAAUGUGCUCAUGAAAGAUAAUACACUAGUAUAAUAUAGUUAAAAAAUUAUAUCAUUGUACUUAUUUGUUCUCUCAAGAUUAUAGUGACAACCGUAGAGCUAACUCUAUGAACACCUAGACUCUUCCUUUUAGAUUUAAGACUUAUUCUCAUUAGAACUUAGACUCCUCUUAAGCGUGUGAAACCCCAUCUCGGGUGAAGUUAUCUUUCCUCUUCACUUAUGAACUCCCACCAUGUGUGAAACUUAUAGGUUUCACCUAAGUUAAUGAAAACCCUAUUCUCAAUUAGUCGGGUUUAGACUCCUCCUAAAGUAGUGUAGUAUGAUCAAAUUUAAUGUAGUCUUAAAAAACCUCUUACAAGAACAAUAACCACAUAUGCAGACGAAUGAUGCUUCAACUUCUCUCACAAUAACAAUAAAAAAAAAUUCAGAACAUAUGCGACAACCCUAGCAACGAAUGCAUCACGAGCUUAAAUAACAAAAGGGAGCAAGGAAACAAACCACAUAACGAAUUGAAACAGCUCUAGAAAAGGCAAAACCAAAACACAAAAUAAUGUAAAUAAGGAAAGAAAUAUUUUGUAGGAUCUGCAACUUUCAUGAUGAUUGUUAGGACAAGAAUAUUCUGAAACGUAUUCUAGGAUGACCAUACAAAUAGCUCGACAACAUGCUAGAAAACUUCAAAUAUAUUUAGCCAAUUUUAAAGGCAUUAACAAUAACAAAUAAUAAAAUGCAAAUAAAAGGUAAAAAUAAAAAAAAUGAAAAGAAAAUAAAUGAAAAAGAGCAACCACUAUAAUUUCAAAACAACUCUAUUUUCAUCCUAAGUUAAAAAUAAAAAAAUAUUAAUAAAAAAACACAUGUUUGCAAAUUAAUUUGGUAUAUUGGUAUGUGUUAUGGUGACCUUCGUUGAAAUUGAAUUUAUUAGAGAAAUUACAAAAAUAAACAAAUUUUUAGGGGUCAGAGGAUUUUGGGAUUCUUUUUUAAAAAUUUGAGUUUUACCACGAAAUGGAUUGUGAAAGUCCAAAACGCCUUUAAAUACAAUUGCAUACAAUUUUUAGUCACUCUUCAACAAACUCUGUUGUUAUUUUGGAGAGUGUUUAUGUUUUUUUUUCUUUUUUUUUCUUUUUUAUUAUUAUAGAUAAUGCUCUUAAUCUUUAGAGUUUUCUUGGUGAAACUUUCAUGCCUUACAUGUAUAACUCAAAAUCAAUUUUAUAAUUAUUCUAAGUGAUUUGAGGUUGUCUAAUAAAUAUUUAGCAAGUUUUUUGUUUUUUUCAUCUCGUAACUUCCAUACUUCAAAUGUCCAAUCUCAAAUAAAUCAUAUACUUGUUUUAUGUGAUUUAAGAUGUCUAUAUAUGUUUUAGGAAUUUUUUAGCUACUGUUUUUGUAUCUUGCAAACAUUUUACAACUUCCAAACUUUAAAUGUUCAAUCCUAAAUCAAUUAUAUGCUUGUUUUAUGUGAUAUAGGGUGAUUAUACACAUGUUUUAGGGAGUUUUUAGCUACUUUUUGUAUAUUGCAGAGAUCUUUUACUCAUCUAGUAAAUAUCUUGCAAUGUCCAAAUUUGUCAGAUGUGGGUGAGAUUAAAAAAAUAGCUAAAAAACUUCAAUAAACAUGUUGUAAAAUCACUAUAAAUCACCUAAAACAAGUAUACAAUUGAUUUAGGAUUGAACAUUUAAAGUUUGGAAUUUUCGAGAUACUUGCGAGAUGUUUGCAACAUACAAAAUGAGUUGCUAAAAACUCCACAAAACAUGUGCAGAAUCAUCCUAGAUCACAUAAAACAAGUAUGUAAUUUGAACUACCCACAAAUAUCUUGCAAUGUCCUACAAAUAUCUCGCACGCAUCUCGCAAAUAUCUCACAAUAUUCAAAUUUGAAAUUCCUAACUCCAAAGCAACUAUAUACUUGUUUUAGGUGACUUAUGGUGCGCUUUUAUAACAUGAUCAAAGGAGUUUUUCUAGCUAUUUCUUUUAACCACUAGAAGUAACUUCUUUAACUAGUUAGAUUUCUAUUUCAUUAGGAGAACCUAGGUUACUUAGUCUUAAUCCUAAGUGUAUUAUGAAUUCUUGUUCACGAUGAAUUGUCCUUUGAUUUGUACGGGUGAGAGUGGCCAAAUUGUCAAUUCAACAUGCUUAUCAGUUUGGGGACAAGACCGAGCGGGGAGCUGGGAACAUAAUUAUACAAGAUGAAAUUCACUUCUUCCCAACUUUAGGGGAGCAAGAGACUUUGAGGAGCACCUUAACAAAGUAGAAGAGAAUAAAGAAGAAGAGGAAGAACAAAAAGACCAAGAUGACGAACUAAACUUGGAAUCAAGCAAUCCAAAAAUGCUUAGAAAAAAAUGACGAUCUUGACGACGAAGGAAAGAGAAACACGCCUGGAAAUAGGAACCAAACUUUCGGAGGGUCAUAUGGUGGACAGACUAAAUUAAGCACAUAAGAAACAACACCUACCACGCAAGGAUAAGAGGAAGAUGACUAACAAUAUAACGUAAGAAAAGAACCGAAUAUAGUACAACAUGUUUAGAAUACAUCUUAGUAAUUAACAUGUGUACAUAAUUGUAAUAGGACUCGGAGGAUCAGAUGAAAAUGGUAUAGUAGUGUAUGCUUGACAUAUGUUUGUUAUAAUGAAUGACUAUUAAAUUUUAAGAAUUGUGAAUCCCAAUUACAGAGUAUUUAUGGUAUUUGUAACUCUAACUACGUGAAAUAGGUUAAUUAUAUUGUCAUCAAUGAGAUGUAUAUACUUUUGUUAUGAACAAA
Cucumis sativus (cucumber) is the source of this 9501-nucleotide long non-coding RNA. RefSeq lists it as uncharacterized. Lineage: Eukaryota; Viridiplantae; Streptophyta; Magnoliopsida; Cucurbitales; Cucurbitaceae. The record is from RefSeq and is a predicted model, not a curated record. The transcript is spliced from 3 exons.